UUGGGUCCGGCAUAACUCCGGGAAACUGGAGAUAAUUCCGGAUAACGCAUAUAUGCUGGAAUGCUUUAUGCGUAAAAUGGAUUCGUCUGCCCAAGGAUGGGUCUGCGGCCUAUCAGGUAGUAGUGGGUGUAAUGUACCUACUAGCCUACGACGGGUACGGGUUGUGAGAGCAAGAGCCCGGAGAUGGAUUCUGAGACAUGAAUCCAGGCCCUACGGGGCGCAGCAGGCGCGAAAACUUUACAAUGCGGGAAACCGUGAUAAGGGGACACCGAGUGCCAGCAUCAUAUGCUGGCUGUCCAGGUGUGUAAAAUACACCUGUUAGCAAGGGCCGGGCAAGACCGGUGCCAGCCGCCGCGGUAACACCGGCGGCCCGAGUGGUGAUCGUGAUUAUUGGGUCUAAAGGGUCCGUAGCCGGUUUGGUCAGUCCUCCGGGAAAUCUGAUAGCUUAACUAUUAGGCUUUCGGAGGAUACUGCCAGACUUGGAACCGGGAGAGGUAAGAGGUACUACAGGGGUAGGAGUGAAAUCUUGUAAUCCCUGUGGGACCACCUGUGGCGAAGGCGUCUUACCAGAACGGGUUCGACGGUGAGGGACGAAAGCUGGGGGCACGAACCGGAUUAGAUACCCGGGUAGUCCCAGCCGUAAACGAUGCUCGCUAGGUGUCAGGCAUGGCGCGACCGUGUCUGGUGCCGCAGGGAAGCCGUGAAGCGAGCC
RNAcentral lists this ribosomal RNA (712 nucleotides) under uncultured euryarchaeote. RNAcentral describes it as "bacterial SSU rRNA". It matches the Rfam family "Archaeal small subunit ribosomal RNA", at positions 115 to 825 of the family's 1478-position model. The record is from RNAcentral. Lineage: Archaea; Methanobacteriati; Methanobacteriota.